CCAAAUGCCAGAGCUGGCUGGCAGCAGAGUCUGGGUUUGAAUCAAAGUCGAUCUGAUGACAGAGGCCGAGCUCUUCAACACACGCUGUGGCCUGCUUCACCAAUGAGGUGGCACAUACCACGGUCCUGAGAAUGUGAGACGGUUUUGGGGAAACGCCCUUUCAUCAACAAGCCUCCGACUCUGAAUGGCUUACUAUGCAGAUGGCUGGGACCAUGAUAACACACUGAUCAUAAUUUUUUUUUUCCUGUUUUAUUUUCAUUGAGGGAAACCUUCUCAGUUACGCAGGGAGCUCUAUGGCCUCCCGUACUUGGGAACUAGAUGGGGCUUUCUCUCCCACUGAUCAUUUCUACCAAAGAGCUGCGUUAUUGGAAGGAAACAUCAGAAAACCACCAGGUUAGGUAGGAUGGGGUAGCAAACCACGGCCUCCUGAGAGCCAAAUCCAGCUGACUGCUUGUUUCAUAGGGCCUAGAAGCUAAGAACGGUACUUAUUCUUAAAUGGCUGAAAGCAGGAAUCAAAAGAAUAUUUCAUGCCAUGUUAAAAUUAUAUGAAACUCAAGUUCAAUGCCUAUAAAAUUUUACUGAGGCAGAGCCACGUUAUAUUGGCUUGGCCCAAAAGUUCACUCGGGGGUUUCCACAACAUCUUACGGAAAAAUCCGAACGAUCUUUUUUUGGCCAACCCAAUAGCUUAUGUACUGUCUAUGGCUGCUUCUGCACAGUAGGGCUGGGUGGUUCAGAAAGAGAUCAUAUGACCCGCAAAACCUAUAAUAUCUGGCCUCUUGCAGAAAAAGAUUGCUGACCUGAGUUAGAGGAAGAGAAUCUCCAAUCACGAGCCUCAGUCGAAGGGAGCGAGAAAGUGAUCUCAUCGCCGGGGUGCUCACAGCUGCCUUCUGAGGGAGACGCUGUUGCUGUUAGCAGGACCUUCGGCAGAUCUUUUACCGUCUGAGCAUGCAUUUCCUCAUUUAUGAAGCAGAAGCAGGCUGAUACCGAAACCGGAGGCAAGU
Physeter macrocephalus (sperm whale) is the source of this 1001-nucleotide long non-coding RNA. RefSeq lists it as uncharacterized. The transcript is spliced from 3 exons. The record is from RefSeq and is a predicted model, not a curated record. Lineage: Eukaryota; Metazoa; Chordata; Mammalia; Artiodactyla; Physeteridae.